RNAcentral lists this ribosomal RNA (607 nucleotides) under Leuconostoc citreum. Its description in RNAcentral is "bacterial SSU rRNA". It matches the Rfam family "Bacterial small subunit ribosomal RNA", at positions 63 to 656 of the family's 1533-position model. The record is from RNAcentral. Lineage: Bacteria; Bacillati; Bacillota; Bacilli; Lactobacillales; Lactobacillaceae.
CGCGCAGCGAGAGGUGCUUGCACCUUUCAAGCGAGUGGCGAACGGGUGAGUAACACGUGGAUAACCUGCCUCAAGGCUGGGGAUAACAUUUGGAAACAGAUGCUAAUACCGAAUAAAACUUAGUAUCGCAUGAUAUCAAGUUAAAAGGCGCUACGGCGUCACCUAGAGAUGGAUCCGCGGUGCAUUAGUUAGUUGGUGGGGUAAAGGCUUACCAAGACGAUGAUGCAUAGCCGAGUUGAGAGACUGAUCGGCCACAUUGGGACUGAGACACGGCCCAAACUCCUACGGGAGGCUGCAGUAGGGAAUCUUCCACAAUGGGCGCAAGCCUGAUGGAGCAACGCCGCGUGUGUGAUGAAGGCUUUCGGGUCGUAAAGCACUGUUGUAUGGGAAGAAAUGCUAAAAUAGGGAAUGAUUUUAGUUUGACGGUACCAUACCAGAAAGGGACGGCUAAAUACGUGCCAGCAGCCGCGGUAAUACGUAUGUCCCGAGCGUUAUCCGGAUUUAUUGGGCGUAAAGCGAGCGCAGACGGUUGAUUAAGUCUGAUGUGAAAGCCCGGAGCUCAACUCCGGAAUGGCAUUGGAAACUGGUUAACUUGAGUGUUGUAGAG